UCAAGUGGAAGAAGUGAUCUUUACUCUACAAAAGGUUCAGUGUAAAGCUGUGUUGUGUCCCACCAGCUUUAAAACUCAAAACUUUUGUGAGAUGCUGAGAGAGAUCUGCCCAGGAAUCGACACCAUGCCAAUUGGCAUGAUCAAAAGCUCCAGGGUGCCAGAUUUGCGGAUGAUAAUUGUGACUGACAGCAGGCAGCCAGGGAUGCUUCAUGUGGAGGAUGUGAUGCAAGC
Nematolebias whitei (Rio pearlfish) is the source of this 231-nucleotide long non-coding RNA. RefSeq lists it as uncharacterized. The transcript has 3 exons. The record is from RefSeq and is a predicted model, not a curated record. NCBI's taxonomy places the organism in Eukaryota, Metazoa, Chordata, Actinopteri, Cyprinodontiformes, Rivulidae.